GUGCUUGCCUUGGGGAGCACAUGCACUAGGAAAGAUCCAGAGAAGAUCAGCAUGGCCCCUGUGCAAGGGUGACACGCAAAUUCAUGCAGUGCUCUGGAUUAAC
Capra hircus (goat) is the source of this 103-nucleotide small nuclear RNA. NCBI's taxonomy places the organism in Eukaryota, Metazoa, Chordata, Mammalia, Artiodactyla, Bovidae. The record is from Ensembl.